AAAAAACCGACGAGAAAGAAUAGUAACUCUGAAUUUCUUUUGCAAAGAGAGCCGCAGAAGGUGUGAUUGCGGUAAAAAGAAGUAGAGCGAAUGGACUUUUGAGGGCAGGAUGAAAAAUGGUUUUGAACCGUUUAGUAGUUCCUGACGGGGACUUUACCCGUUAUCCGGAAAGCAUGUAUUUUAUGAAGUACAUGAAAUUGAGUGGGCGUUUUUUUGAAACGUCAAUUUGGGUGGUACCACAGGAGUUUUAAAGCUCUUGUCCCUGUG
Molecule: non-coding RNA, 267 nt
Filed under: Clostridiales bacterium
Lineage: Bacteria; Bacillati; Bacillota; Clostridia; Eubacteriales
Description: T-box
Rfam family: T-box leader
About the family: Uncharged tRNA acts as the effector for transcription antitermination of genes in the T-box leader family. T-boxes are found upstream of many aminoacyl-tRNA synthetase genes and some amino acid biosynthetic genes usually in Gram-positive bacteria.
Source: RNAcentral